UAGGGAAUCUUCCACAAUGGGCGCAAGCCUGAUGGAGCAACACCGCGUGAGUGAAGAAGGGUUUCGGCUCGUAAAGCUCUGUUGUUAAAGAAGAACAUAUCUGAGAGUAACUGUUCAGGUAUUGACGGUAUUUAACCAGAAAGCCACGGCUAACUACGUGCUAG
This 164-nucleotide ribosomal RNA is filed under the name uncultured bacterium. RNAcentral describes it as "partial 16S ribosomal RNA". It matches the Rfam family "Bacterial small subunit ribosomal RNA", at positions 355 to 511 of the family's 1533-position model. The record is from RNAcentral.